UCCGAGUUGACCCCGGCAGUCUCCCGCGAGUCCCCACCAUUACGUGCUGGCAACACAGGACAAGGGUUGCGCUCGUUGCGGGACUUAACCCAACAUCUCACGACACGAGCUGACGACAGCCAUGCAGCACCUGUCUCUCGGUUCCCGAAGGCACCCCCGCAUCUCUGCAGGGUUCCGAGGAUGUCAAGACCUGGUAAGGUUCUUCGCGUUGCGUCGAAUUAAACCACAUGCUCCACCGCUUGUGCGGGCCCCCGUCAAUUCAUUUGAGUUUUAAUCUUGCGACCGUACUCCCCAGGCGGCCAACUUAACGCGUUAGCUGCGCCACUAAGGGCACUAGGGCCCCCAACGGCUAGUUGGCAUCGUUUACGGCGUGGACUAC
RNAcentral lists this unclassified non-coding RNA (379 nucleotides) under uncultured Gammaproteobacteria bacterium. RNAcentral describes it as "contains 16S-23S intergenic spacer region". The record is from RNAcentral. Lineage: Bacteria; Pseudomonadati; Pseudomonadota; Gammaproteobacteria.